Molecule: unclassified non-coding RNA, 456 nt
Filed under: Hevea brasiliensis (rubber tree)
Lineage: Eukaryota; Viridiplantae; Streptophyta; Magnoliopsida; Malpighiales; Euphorbiaceae
Source: RNAcentral
GAGAAUCAUCUCUUUCUACAAUUUGGCACCCUAUAAACUUCAAAAUACUUGACACACUACCUUAACCAAGCCCUAGGCUCCUUCCCAUCACAAGUUACUAACUCAAUUUUAGGAAGUAAUUGAGUCAUUCCCAUCAUACCCAAAGAAUUGCCUAAGAUUAGUGUUAGGAAGAAUAUCAGGAAUAGCAAUUGUUUGGGCCACGAAUAAUAUAGGUUGCGCUCCUACAGAAAUUGAUUGAACCCCAGGAGCAGGAAUUGACUAAAUCACUGAAGUAGAUUGAGCUCUGCUGUUUUCGUCUCUAUUUUUCCCUAUCUCAGAACUGGUGCUUCCUUAAUUCUGUUCCCCUUCUAGUGCAACAUUAACAAUUGCUCUAACAUCGCAUUUUUCUUCUCAUACUGAGCCUGGUUCUUCUCAAAAUUCUUCCCAACUUCCUUCAGUUCCUCAGCAUUCCUCUGA